GAUGAACGCUAGCGGCAGGCUUAACACAUGCAAGUCGAGGGGUAACAGGAGUAGCUUGCUAUUUGCUGACGACCGGCGCACGGGUGCGUAACGCGUAUAGAACCUACCAUAAACUGGAGAAUACCCUUUGGAAACGAAGAUUAAUACUCCAUAAUGUUUUAGAGUCACCUGGCUUUAAGAUUAAAGAUUUAUUGGUUUAUGAUGGCUAUGCGUCUUAUUAGCUAGAUGGUAAGGUAACGGCUUACCAUGGCAACGAUAAGUAGGGGUCCUGAGAGGGAGAUCCCCCACACUGGUACUGAGACACGGACCAGACUCCUACGGGAGGCAGCAGUGAGGAAUAUUGGUCAAUGGAGGCAACUCUGAACCAGCCAUGCCGCGUGAAGGAUGACUGCCCUAUGGGUUGUAAACUUCUUUUACAUGGGAAGAACUGCAGAUACGUGUAUUUGUUUGACGGUACCAUGCGAAUAAGGACCGGCUAACUCCG
This 484-nucleotide ribosomal RNA is filed under the name uncultured Flavobacteriaceae bacterium. Its description in RNAcentral is "bacterial SSU rRNA". It matches the Rfam family "Bacterial small subunit ribosomal RNA", at positions 28 to 505 of the family's 1533-position model. The record is from RNAcentral. Lineage: Bacteria; Pseudomonadati; Bacteroidota; Flavobacteriia; Flavobacteriales; Flavobacteriaceae.